UGGGGAAUAUUGGACAAUGGGCGGAAGCCUGAUCCAGCCAUGCCGCGUGUGUGAAGAAGGCCUUUUGGUUGUAAAGCACUUUAAGCGAGGAGGAGGCUACUUGGAUUAAUACUCUAGGAUAGUGGACGUUACUCGCAGAAUAAGCACCGGCUAACUCUGUGCCAGCAGCCGCGGUAGUACAGAGGGUGCGAGCGUUAAUCGGAUUUACUGGGCGUAAAGCGUGCGUAGGCGGCUUCUUAAGUCGGAUGUGAAAUCCCUGAGCUUAACUUAGGAAUUGCAUUCGAUACUGGGAAGCUAGAGUAUGGGAGAGGAUGGUAGAAUUCCAGGUGUAGCGGUGAAAUGCGUAGAGAUCUGGAGGAAUACCGAUGGCGAAGGCAGCCAUCUGGCCUAAUACUGACGCUGAGGUACGAAAGCAUGGGGAGCAAACAGG
This 430-nucleotide ribosomal RNA is filed under the name Acidobacteriota bacterium. Its description in RNAcentral is "Acidobacteria bacterium partial 16S ribosomal RNA". It matches the Rfam family "Bacterial small subunit ribosomal RNA", at positions 355 to 776 of the family's 1533-position model. Lineage: Bacteria; Pseudomonadati; Acidobacteriota. The record is from RNAcentral.